GUCCACUAGAGGGGGUGCUCCGCGGGGCCGGCGGGAGGAAGGCAAAGACACCGACACAGCAUCCCGUCCUGCUGGCCUGCUCUUUAGUUGUCAUGGAUUUGAAAUUAUUCCUUUCCUCCCGAUUGAAUUCUGUACUACAUGCUCUCCAGUCCUUCCUAAUGAGGCUUAAAAAUAUACACCUCAUUGAGAAGAAAAUGUUUUCCUUCAGACAAAAGAGAGUGGUGAUUCAGCUGUAGGCAAUACAGAGCAAUGUCAAAUUCUUCUCUCAGUCAAAUUUAUCUCUCUUCGAUUUGAGGUCCAGUAAAAGGUAAGUCAAAAUCUAUCUUACCUUUGGUUCUAUUUAGGAGCUAGUUCAUAAUGGAUACUAGAUGCAAAGCUUAAUUAUUAUAUUGCUCAGUUAUUUGAAUAUUUUUAAGAAAUUAAUCAAAGAUCUUUUCAUGAACAAAAGGCAGAAAAAGGUAAGAAAAAUUUAAAAGCCUGAUUUGCAUGUGCAAAUAACUGUGGAAUGAGCUCACCUAAACUUGCUUGCCAAUGACCUCAACCUUGAUCUGGAAAGAUCAUUUAUUCACAAGUAAAACAUUCAUAUUCUCUAUGCUCACACUGUCUUGGAUCUUUUCUCAAGGUAGAUUACUAACCGCGAUGUUAGUCUAUGCAUAAUAUCUGCAUGUACCAACA
This 675-nucleotide long non-coding RNA is filed under the name Capra hircus (goat). RNAcentral's name for it is "lncRNA (ENSCHIG00000000750.1)". The record is from RNAcentral. Lineage: Eukaryota; Metazoa; Chordata; Mammalia; Artiodactyla; Bovidae.